This 292-nucleotide ribosomal RNA is filed under the name uncultured bacterium. RNAcentral describes it as "partial 16S ribosomal RNA". It matches the Rfam family "Bacterial small subunit ribosomal RNA", at positions 505 to 796 of the family's 1533-position model. The record is from RNAcentral.
GUGUCAGCAGCCGCGGUAAUACAGAGACUGCAAGCGUUAUUCGGAUUCACUGGGCGUAAAGGGUGCGCAGGUGGCCAAGUGUGUUAGGCGUGAAAGCCCGGGGCUUAACCCCGGAAUUGCACCUAAAACUACUUGGCUAGAGCAUUGGAGAGGGGAGCAGAAUUCACGGUGUAGCAGUGAAAUGCGUAGAUAUCGUGAGGAAUACCAGAGGCGAAGGCGGCUCCCUGGACAAUUGCUGACACUCAGGCACGAAAGCGUGGGGAGCAAAAGGGAUUAGAAACCCUUGUAGUCC